This 299-nucleotide unclassified non-coding RNA is filed under the name plant metagenome. Its description in RNAcentral is "partial contains small subunit ribosomal RNA, internal transcribed spacer 1, and 5.8S ribosomal RNA". The record is from RNAcentral.
UUUCCGUAGGUGAACCUGCGGAAGGAUCAUUAUCGAAUUUCGAGGGGAAGGAAGAUGAGGAGUGGAGACUGUCGCGGGCUUUCCCGCCUGGGAAGCAUGUGCACGCCUUGCUUUUCGUUGACCGUUCUCUUACUCCCACACCUGUGCACCAAUUGUAGGUCCUCGAAAGAGGAUCUAUGUUUUUAUCAGCACACGCAUCGUAUGUCCAUAGAAUGUAACAUGAUCGUCGAUCGACCUCGCGGUCUGUUGGCGGUCUAAAUAAAUAAAUACAACUUUCAGCAACGGAUCUCUUGGCUCUC